AAAUCAUUAGCGUGUGUUCUACAGACACUAUCAUGGACCUCUUCUAGGAUUUGCCUAGCCUUAAUAGUGUCCACGCAUCUUAGCAACACCUGAUCGUUUCCUCUUUUAUAUAGGAUUUCUCCAUCUAGGACGUAGUAACUAGCCAGCAUCCUCAACAUUCUCUUGUCAUUCUCAGUUGCUUGGUCUAGGUAUUCGUGAUUUUUCACAUACCGCAAUAUGUCUUGAUACCAAGGGUGGUCGUCUUUUUCUUCUUCGUCGUCAAUGUUGCAAU
Molecule: long non-coding RNA, 271 nt
Filed under: Gossypium barbadense (sea-island cotton)
Lineage: Eukaryota; Viridiplantae; Streptophyta; Magnoliopsida; Malvales; Malvaceae
Description: long non-coding RNA (GBAR_LNC018509)
Source: RNAcentral